Molecule: non-coding RNA, 239 nt
Filed under: Clostridium sp.
Lineage: Bacteria; Bacillati; Bacillota; Clostridia; Eubacteriales; Clostridiaceae
Description: T-box sequence
Rfam family: T-box leader
About the family: Uncharged tRNA acts as the effector for transcription antitermination of genes in the T-box leader family. T-boxes are found upstream of many aminoacyl-tRNA synthetase genes and some amino acid biosynthetic genes usually in Gram-positive bacteria. The anticodon of a specific tRNA base pairs to a specifier sequence within the T-box motif, and the NCCA acceptor tail of the tRNA base pairs to a conserved bulge in the T-box antiterminator hairpin.
Source: RNAcentral
GCAAAAACUGUGAAGGGAAUAAGAUAUAUAAAACAAGCAAAGAGAACUAUCGGUUGGUGUAAGAUAGUGUUGGCUUUAUAUAUGUAUAGCUCAUCCCGGAGUUGUCUGCCCGAAUAUUUAAAGGCAGACCGUAAGGUCCCGUUAUAGACCAGAAUCUUGUUGGAGAUUCGCUGAGGAACGCUUUUUGCGUUUGAAUCAGGGUGGUACCGCGUGCAUUGAAUUUUAUGCUCGCCCCUUAG